GUGGCUUCUAGAGUCUUCUAGAUGAUAGAAAAUUAGCGCACACGUUAAUAUCUCUAUGUAAACCUGACGUGUGGGCCUUUCCUCCAUAUUUCCUGAUAACCCCCUAUAGAAAUAGACAAACACAAAAACUUAUGGAAUUCUGUCAGAUAAAACCCUAAGUCUAGGUGUUGGUUGUAUUUGGAUCCUUUUCCAUGAUUAGUUGACGGUUAAAUGUGAGCAUUAAGGACCGUCAACAAGCUCCCCAAGCUUAACCUUUGCUCGUCCCUAAGCAAGGAUGGACUCAAGAGUUUCUGCAGUGGUUUCAUGCCUUAAAGGUACACAUGCGUUCAAACAAGAUCUCAUCUCUAGGUUAGGUAAACUGUUAAGAUUUAAACUUACUCAUUUUUACUUUCACCAUAGGGCUUGCAACCGUCACUUGUGUCUUGAGCAGUUAAAAGAUAGAACGGUGUAGUCUAGCGCCAUGUCUCUUGUUCUUCGAUUAACUAUAGCUCUGGAGUUUUUGCAAAUUUUCAAAUAAAACUCACAGAUUCCUUGUAUGACUCUCUCUAGUCUCUCUUUUGUAUUAUUUCUGGAUCCUUACCAAGGCAGUAAUGGUGUAUGCCUUCUCUCAAAGUAUGUGGUAUUUUUGGUAUGAGGCAUAGUGGCAUUGCCUUCUCUCUCACCCUACUCUAAUAAGGUUUUGAUAUUUGGAGCUCAUAGGUGGGAGACAGCUAAUACAUACUUACAAGACAUUUAUUGCAUAGUCAAACCAUGGAUCCAGAAGAACAAGUCAAUAAGUCAAAUCAAGAUGUGCAUGUGUGGCGAAUGAAUGGUGAUAAUGGUGAAAAUAAUGGUGAAAGUCUAAUUCUACUUUUGCUCUUUUGAGGGGGUACAUACCUUCCUUGCACUUGAGGCUUUUGAGGGGAAUGAGAUGCUCUAUAUUUUAUUUUUCUUUUCUCUCAGGUGGGUAUCUUGUACCCCUAAUUCUACUGUCGGACACUUGUCUGUUUUUACCUCUCGUCUCACUUUUUCUUCUUUUUUUUCGAGGUUUCGGGCACUUGUCCCUUUUUAUUUCCUCGUAUUCACUUUUUUCAGAGCACUCACCCUCCUAGAAUAAUGUAGCAAUUGGUAGUAACCAAAAUAUCUAGAGCAUUUAUUUCACGAGGAACAACAGAGAUAGGAUAAUGUUUGUGGCUAUUCUCUCCUAGAUAGGAGUAGAAUAAUUUUGGGUGAAUCUGGAUAUGGAAAUGAGUGGAUGUAUGUGAAUGCGUACUUCUGGAGUAGAAGUAGCAUGUAUUAGUGAACAUGCAAGUGAAUCUUGAUUUUAACCGCAUGAUAAGCUCCUAAGGGUCUACACAGCUUGACCAUACUCAAUGCUCAUAAGCAGUAAAAAGUAAAUGUAUGGUUCAUAGUCUAAUAAGUAUGUAUAUAUGGCUAUGGUAGAAUUUUAAACUCUCAUCAUAUAGGAACUCAUCAUGCAACAUUUUAAAGAUUUUCAAAGAUAAAAUUCUCCAGAAUUCUUGCUGUUGACGGUCCUUAAGUAUCAAAUUUAAUUAUCAAAUAAACAAAGAAAAGGAUCCAAAUGAAAUCAACAUCUAGACUUAGGGUUUUAUCUGACAGAAUUCCACGAGUUUUGGUGUUUGUCUAUUUCUGCAGGGGGUUAUCAGGAAAAAUGAAAGAAAGGCCCACACGUCGGGAUUACAUAGAGAUAUCAACAUGUCGCGCAAUUAUCUUACAUCUAGAAGACUCCAGAAGCCACGGGAAGGAAGCGGAGGACGAACGGGGCCAGGGACUGGGAGCCCGCCCAGUUGCCCUGGGCGCCCGCCCUCCUGCCGAGCCCAAUCGGGACUCUUUUCGCACACGACGCUCCACCGACCUAA
This 1859-nucleotide long non-coding RNA is filed under the name Sorghum bicolor (sorghum). Its description in RNAcentral is "long non-coding RNA (SBIC_LNC008664)". The record is from RNAcentral. Lineage: Eukaryota; Viridiplantae; Streptophyta; Magnoliopsida; Poales; Poaceae.